Molecule: long non-coding RNA, 10376 nt
Filed under: Brassica napus (rape)
Lineage: Eukaryota; Viridiplantae; Streptophyta; Magnoliopsida; Brassicales; Brassicaceae
Description: long non-coding RNA (BNAP_LNC016638)
Source: RNAcentral
CCGACCUCAGGCCGCGGAGGCCGAAACCGAGGCCAAUGACGUUGUUGUAGAGCCUGAGCAGCGGGGGCGUGGUGGUUGUAGGUACGGAUGUUGCGGAUCCUACGCUUUUGGACGGUGCAGCGCUUGCUGCAGCAAAGCCCAAGCUGAGGAGGCUAUGAAGACCGAGGCUGUUGAGGAGAACGCUGUUGAGCCUCAGCAAAGGGGUGGUGGUUGUAGGUACGGAUGUUGCGGAUCAUGGCGUUAUGGACGGUGCAGCUACUGUUGCCGAGGUCCUCAAGCCGAGGCUGAAGUUGUUGAGCCCCAGCAAAUCCGUAGAUGUAGGUACGGUUGCUGCGGAAGGUACCCUUAUGCGCGGUGCAGUGUUUGUUGUACCAAAAAGAUGGCUACAGAGGAAGAGACGAAAACGGAAGAAGCUAAGCCAUGAAUUGGCGUGUAACACAAACUCUUAUGUUUGUAUGCAUGGAAUGCAUGGUUAUUACUAUUACGUACGUGUGUCAAAAUAAGAGAAAUGUUUCAAAGCUCUAUGUAGCUCAAUAAAAGAAGUCUUAGGUUCUUAUAACAUGUAUUUUGUUAUGUGGUGUUUUCUCGUGAAGAUUACAAUAAUAACAACUGUUUAAUAUCAAAUCGUCACGGUAUUUAACUUAUAGUAAUGAAAAGCAUGUCGCUAGCUAGGUUAAAAAAAAAUCAUAGUAUUGUAUAAUAUGUCAAUAUGGUAUCAUGUAGAUUUGCUAUCCUAAGCUUAAACAUUAUGAAUACUGACGGUGACAGCUGUUUACUAUGAUGAUGGAAACAUAUAUUUUGCGUUUUUCUAGAUUUUAUGGAUAUCCAUUUAUUUCUCGUUUCACCCUCGGAGACCUUUGAUGCUAUGCCACUACGGCCAUCCUGUUCCCUUGUACUUGACCCAAUAUUUUUUUUUUUUUGAACUUAGCUUUCAAAUUUAAAAUGCAGAAAAAGAAAAGAAAUACAAGCCCAUAAGCCAUAGUUUGUUGGAGCAGCUAGAGCUCAAUUACUUUCAACACACAUUACAUUACAGAUCGAAUAGGCAGUAAGCCCAAUAGUCAAACAAGAAGUGGAAGAGGCAGACUUCGAUCAUCACGAUCAGAUCCCAUGACGUAGUUAACGGAGGCUGUGCGAUCGGAAUAAGUUGAAGGAGGUGGUGAUAAAAACGCUCAGAUGAGCCAUUGCUGCAUCAGUGUUGAAGAUCUUGAGGAGCUAGUAUGGCGAAGCGAAAGGAUCAUGUCUUUGAUCUUGCCGGUGUAUCCGUGCGUUUCUCUCCCUCCAGGUCCAGUAUAUACAUCCUUGCCAGCAUAGACGAAGCAGCAUACCAGUCGUCGAUCGAGGACUUGUCAAUUGAAUCUGCAUCAAAACACGAUCCCAAUUCUGUUCAGGGCGAAUCCCACACCUUGGAGCAAGGCGACCCCAAAUACUCCAGGAGUAUUGGCAGUUGAAGAAGAGAUGGUCUCUGGACUCUUCGGCUUGAUUGCACAAGACGCAAGCAGUAUCUGUUUGAAACCCCCACCCUCUGAUCCUGUCUCUAGUAGGGCACCGAUUCAAGACAAAGAGCCAAGUUAGGAAGCUGUGUCUGGGUAUCCCAGCUUUAUUCCAUACCGAUUCACACCAAGGCACCGAAGCUCCUGCGAGACAAAUCUUUUCAUAAAUUUUGCCCAUACUGUAAGUAUCUGAUACCUUUCCAUCAACCUCCCAUUCAUAAUAGUCCUCAAUCUCAUUAAGGUUUAUUGUCGUUAGCAACGCAUGAAUGUUGACCAAGCGCUCUGAUCUUGCAGGGGGUAGCAUCCAGUUAUUGUUGAUAUGUAGAGUGGCUAGUGUAGCAUGAUCAGGAAUUCCCAGCGUGGAAGCGCUACCGUCAAGCAGAUAAGAUCUCAGGGAACCGUAAGGAGACCAAUUAUCACUCCAGAAGAGACAGGACUGGCCAUUCUGCACUCUUAGUUUAACACAACUGAAGAUUUCCGAGCUCAGUUUAAGGAGCUUGUUGACCUGCCAUGAGUAGCGACGGUUAGGGGGCGUGAUCCAAAGGUUGCUCAGGUUACCAUUCAACACCUCUGUCUUGAACCAAGCAACCCACACCGAACCUGACUGGAAGAACAAGAGCCAGAUAAGCUUGAGGCAACACGCCUUGUUCCAGAUGGAGAGGUUUUUAAUUCCCAAACCUCCUUCCCUCUUAGGUUUUGUGACUACUUCCCAUGAAACUCUCGCUGUAUGGUGUUGCUCUAUAUUCCCUUGCCAAAGAAAGACCCCACAAAGGGAAUUUAUCCUUUUUACGCAGGCUUGAGGAAGGAUAAAUGUUGAGCACCAGAACGUGGUUAUGCCAGUGAUAACUGUCUUGAUGAGCAGAAGACGUCCAGCAAAAGAUAAGGAUUUAGCGCUCCAUGAUGAAAGCCUGGUUUUGAUCUGCUGAAGGAGUCCUUCACAGUUUAAGAGCGACAAUUUCUUCGUGCAUAAGGGGACACCUAAGUAGCGGACCGGAAGAGUACCCAUAGGCAUGCCUGUUGAGAACUUGAUCAGGUCCGUUUCAGCUUCCGUCAUACCUGAGGCGAAGAAGGAUGAUUUUUGCACACUAACAGCAAGACCUGAUCUCAGUUCAAACUCUCGAAGUACCUGCAACACAGCUUGGACAGAGGCUAGGGAUCCAUCUAUGAAGAUCAACAAAUCAUCAGCAAAACUCAAAUGAGUAAGCUUAGAUGGCUGGCAUUUGAGGUGGUACUUGAAUUUCAUCUCGCGGGCCGCACGGUUUAGCAUAAGUGAGAGAUUAUUCAUAGCAAUCACAAAGAGAUAGGGUGAAAGUGGGUCACCUUGCCUCAAGCCUCGAGUCCCUUUGAAGUAGCCGUGCACGUAGCCAUUGUAUCCUACUGUGAAGUUCGUCGUACAUAUACAUGCUUUGAGCCAAGAGAGGAGCUUUUCAGGAAUGUUCAAGCUUUGGAGACAGGAGAAGAGAAAGCUCCAAGACAAGGUAUCAAAAGCCUUUGCGAUAUCAACUUUAAUUGUUAUUCUUUUAGUACCAGUGUUUUUAUGAUACCCUUGAACAAGCUCUCCUGCAAGGGAUGUGUUCUCCACUAACAGUCGACCUUUGACAAAUGCAGUCUGAUUCGGAACAAUGAGUGAGGGCAGGAUGAUCUUUAAUUUCUUCACAAGCAACCGCGAGACAACCUUGUAGAUGGUGUUUAAGCACGAGAUAGGACGGUAGUCCGUGAUUAGUGAUGCACCCGGGUGCUUUGGAACCAAUGACAAGAUUGUUGCGUUCGUUGAGGCAGGCAUGAAAGAGGAGUGAAAGAACUGUUGGAUCGAUUGCAGAACCUCAGGGCCUAAGAUACUCCAAGAUGCUUUAUAAAACCCAGAGGUAAGCCCAUCAGGCCCAGGAGCUUUAUUCUGGUUAAUCUUAAACAUGACUGACGUAAUCUCUUCUGCCGUAGGUAAUGAGAGCAUCUGAGAGCGUUGACUAUCCGAGCAAGAGUAUCCCGUCAAUGAGUGAAACCAGAGGGAGGAAGACACAAUUCUAACAGGAGGGGCAGGAACUGGCCCUAGAAUACUUUGGAAAUGAGAGACCGCAUGGAUACUCAUCUGAAUAGAGUCAAUGAUGAUGACACCCGAGGGAAGAAAGAAAGACCGGAUGAAGUUGAAGUUCAGUCGAGUUUGGACUGUCCUGUAGAAGAAGGUAGUAUUUUGAUCUCCUUCUUUCAACCAGUUGACUCGAGAACGUUGUUUAAAAUAGCUUUCCUCUAUUUCCCUCAAGAAGUUCCAUGUCUGGAGCGCUUGCUUCUCCAAUUCAAAUAGCUGAGUCGUUGGUGAGUGUAAAACCUGAACCUGCACAUCUAGCAAAACACGGUUAGCCUCACUAACUCUCACUUGGAUUUGUGAAAAAUUCUCUUUAUUUAGUUGUUUCAAAUCUCCUUUUAUCUGUUUUUGUUUCCAGUAAAGUGCGGUGAGGUUCCCGACAGUGUCUCCGGCCUGUGUCCACGCAUCAGAAACCACUUGGAGAAAGCUAGGGUGCUUAGAGAGGUAGUUGUAGAAUUUGAAGGGCCUGUUGCCAGAGGAUGGGAUUUUAGUAGCUAGGUCAAGGGUACAAGGGGUGUGGUCGGAGGUUAGGUUUGGAUGGAAGUAGGCUGAGCAAUGAGGAAAAAUGUUAAAAACAGGAUUGUUGAUCAGCAGCCGAUCAAGUUUUUUAGCUAUUGGGGAUUCAGGCCGAUGAUUUGUCCAGGUGAAAAGAGGCCCCUGAUACCGCAGGUCGAAGAGACCCAACUGAACAAGGCAAUCCUUUAGCUCAACCAUAUCUGUCGUGAGGGAGUUUACAUCAGGGAGUGAAUGCUCCACUGGGUGGAUGAUCUGGUUGAAGUCACCACCAAGUAUCCAAGGUACAGAGUCCAGUGAGUAAGUUUGAUAGACAUUUAACAGAUCAAUCCAAAGAUCUAUGCGCUCAUCUCUUUCAUUUGAAGCGUAGAUGGCUGUGAAGAUGAACAUGGCACAACCAGGAAUCUGAACCUCACAGGUGACAGACUGCCUUGACUGAUGGAGUACUCGAACAGCAAUAGUAUUUCUCCAUAUGAUCACAAUCCUUCCAUCAUCAUCAGAAGCAUGGUUUGAGGUGUAGUUCCAACCUCGACAAAUCUUUCCCAUUAUUUGACUCAAGUUUUGAUCUUUUAUGUGUGUUUCUAGAAUAGUACCAAAAAGGGGCUGAUGAGUAGCUAUCCAAUCACAAAAAGGCUUAUGUUUGACCGGGUCAUUUAGACCUCGGACAUUCCAAAAAAAUAAUUUAUUAUACAUAGGGGUUUAGUCAAUGGUCUCUUCAUGGAGAAGAGAACCAUCUAGAGCCAAAACAGAGAAAGAGUUUUUUGAGAGAUUGACAGAUAAGGGACAAGGCUGAGGGAGAGUAAGAGUGUGAUUCAGGGGUGAUUUAAAAGAGGCAAAAUAGGAGAGUUGAUCAGUGAAAGAAGGGAAGGUUUUUGGGUUUGAGGCAGGUCGAGGUCUUUUUAGGGAUGGGGCAUAGAAGGAAUCAGGUGGGCUUAAAAGGCCGGAGGGGAUUUCAGGGUUAGAGGGAGUAGGAAUGAGGGGUCCGGAAGGCAAGGGGGAGAACAGAGGUGGAGUUGAGAGUUUUUUGGGAUGGUUUUUUACUAAGUUGAGAGGCAGUUUAGAGGGAGUGGUUUUGAUAGUGGUAUUGACUGAAGAGUCAUGAAGGUUACCAUGGGUGGGAGUUAAAGAGAAGAUAGUUUUUGGAUCAGAGAUAGGGAUGGGGUGUGAGGGAGGUAUGGCAGUGGAGGAUGAAGCAACAUCAACUUUAGUAUUACUUUGUGGGUCUAAGGGGCCUUUAUUUUUUUCCCUUGAUGUAGCAUCAGUUGAUUUGGGCACUUUCUUUGCAGGUGUAUUCACUGACUUUUCAGGCAGGGGAAGGAGGAGGCAGUUACGAGCUAUAUGACCAAGCUCCUUACAAUGCGAGCAGGUAGGCGGAAUCCAGGGGUAAGCCACCUGAACCUCUACGACCUCACCAUUUUCCCUACUGAAUUCAACUACACUUGGCAGAGGCUUUGAAAGAUCAACAGCCACUUUCACAUGAGAGAGAGUUAAACUCACCAAGUUUUUAGUGAAAUCAUCAGUUUCCUUAGGCUCACCAACUAAACCUGCAACAAGGCUCAAUCCAUCUGUAUGGCGGAGGUCAAGAGGGACUCCAGUCAGAUGAGCCCAUAACUGGAUAGUUUCCAGAGGGGGCUUAGUAGCGGAUGCUGACGAAGACCACUGAACAGCAUGAAACAUUGAUUCACCUACAUACCAUGCACUCUUCUCAAGUAUUUUCUGUCUCAAGUAGUCAGAAGGAAUCCGAACUAACAUUGAGCGGGAGGAAGGGUUAGUAUGAAUUUCCACUCUUUUUCCUUUUCCCCACAUGUGAUUGAGCACACUUUUUAUUUGGUUGAAUGGAGGCAGUCGUCCAUUAAACCAGCAGAUGAUGAAAUCUUUGUGUAUCUCAGCACCUUGUUGGAAUACGCUAUCAGGGAUUAGUACGCGAGGAAUGCCUUUGUCAGUUAGAGUGACCGGUGCAAGACGCUUUAGGGUUUUGUCUUCAACCUUCCGAAGGCGUUCAACAAGGGGAGGCACAUAAGUUGAAUGUGGCCGAGCUUGGGACACACCGACAGGGUCAGGAGUUGGGGGUAAGUUUGAGGUACAAUUUUUUGUUGAAGGAUUAGAGGUUGAGGGUAAGAGGGUGGGGUUUGAGACAGAGGGACAUGAUGGUUUAGUAGGCAAAGGCUUUGGGAUGAGAGGAGACAUACCAGAAGCCUUAUUAGUUUGGAUCGGAGAAGAGGGUUUAGGAGAUAAGACUUUGAAGUUUUCUAGGUUAAAGUGAACAGUGUUUCCAGAUCUGAAAGUUUCAGAGGUGGAACACACAGUGACUUCAGAUGCUAGACCAACAGGAGUGGCACAAGCAGCAGUUUUUGAGACAGAGCUCUUCACUACAGGCCCCAAUAAGUGAGCAGUUCGCAGUGAUGAGCGGGUGGGUUUGGGAGAAGAAGAGAGUGGGGGGAAGUCAGGGUCAGGAGGGUCCGGUGGGUGGGGGGGGACAGGCAGGAGGCUAUCACCAGAGGUGAGACGCGGCGGAGACAGGGCGGAGACACUGUUCGGAGGGAACCAGGGGUUCGCCAUAUGCAGUUUAAUUCUGAACUUUUGUUGUUGUCUAUAUAUUGACGUCGAAAUAAAUAAUUAAGUUAUGAAGCCAUAAUAUAUAUAUAUAUAUAAUAAUUUUGUUUUAUUUCAUUCAACAUUACACUUCAUAACUGAAGCCUCAGACAAUUUUCAAAGACCUGAUAUUAAAUCCCUUUGUUGGUGCAACAGCAUUUUUGAGAUUUUUUAUCACAAUAUCCUGUAGAGAACCCAUCCACCAUACAGUCAUGGGCACAUUCGAAAAGCUCGUACUUUCCAGGCACACAUGGAACAUCGCAAACAUCACCAUUUGCUGAGUUAAUCACUACACAAAUACAAUCCAAGUCAAGAUUACAAUUAUGAGUAUAGCUUGGGCAAAUUGACAAACGAUUCUAUAGGAAAAAACUUUCGCAAAUUUUUUGAACCUUUUUGCAAUUAAUGGCUCUGAUCACAGUCCUAGUCUCCAACCUCCCAAUCGGAUCUGUUCAUCACCUAAUACGGUUAUAGGUUUCGGAACCACCGCAUCUCCACAGCCAGAGCAGUUGUUGCUGAAACAGACGGUCCUCGACGCCAUCAAGCUCGGUUAUCUCCAUUUCGACACAUCUCCAAGGUAUCUCGAUGAAGCUCUAUCGGAGACGAUUUCUUACCUCAAACUGACUUGACCAAAAUAUAACACCACAAACUAUAAUUUCAGGUAGUUUCCUACAUGAUUUAACUUUUAAAUAACUCUAUAAAUUUGUUAAAAGGUUAGAAAAUAAAAAAAGGACCUUGCGAUUCUGUGUUCGUGUUAUGCAAGAGCAUGAGUUGGUCGGAAUUACCGAACCGGAAGCCCUCCGUCGGGAUUGGGUGAAUAGUUUCUGCAACUUCAACGAACACAGUUUCAUCUCUAAAAUCUGAUAGACACAGGGGCAUCAUCAAACCAAAAACUCAGGUUGCUUCUUGUAACAUCAAACACUCGGUUCAUAAAGCUUCUUUCAAGAUAUGUCUAAACUUAGAGGAAUGCAAUUGUGAUUUUGUUUGAGAAAGAAAGUAAGCUACUAACCUGGAAGAAGAGCAUGAUUUACCAACGCUUCUCAGACGGCCUAUAUAUACACAGAAACUGAUCACCGGCAAAUGUGAAAUGAAAUUGGAAGUUCAAAAGGUACGAAGCUCAGGCGGAGAUCUCUGCGUCAGGAAGAAAUAGGUCUGAUAAAGGAUCACAAAUUAAUGGGUCAUAACUGGUUAUAUAAGGCUCAGUGUAUGCAAUCAAAUGGAACUUACGGUACAGAAGCCCAUUAAAUAACACACAACACAAUUCGGUUUAUUUGUACUAACGAAGUUAAGCUGCCACGUAGCAGUAAAUGCCCCUAUGUAAACGAUGAUGUGGAUGCAUAAGGAGAGAGACAAGGCAACUUUAUUGUAUAAGAUACAUAGCUCUAUUAUUGGAUCAAUCAAUUUUGUUGAAUCGUACAAUGCAACAAAAUAUUUUAUUCUAUAAUUGAAGAUCCAUCGGCCCAAUGAAAACAUCUUAUAUAUCCAUUUAGUGACUGCCUAUAAUUCCUCUUAUUCCUUGGUGGAGCUGGAGUAUCCUCUCUUUUUGUGUGAAUGCUAAAUUGAUUGCAUCUACGUAACUUAGUGAAACACUUGCUCAAAUAAAGGUCUUUCAAGUAAGAUCUUUGUUCAGCUGUUACUCAAAUGAAUAAAGAGCUGGUAUAGACAGAAACUUUUGUUGUAUAGGUGGAGAUCAGUUUUCCGCUUCUUAAGAAUGUAUUAGCCAAAUAACAUUAAUACACUUGAUAUAUGCUACGUUGAGUCCACUGCAUGUUUGUGGGUUCAACAUUACCAACGCCUCAAGGAAAAAAAAAUUAUAAGAAAUAAAUAUGACGUAACUACUUGAAAUUUUACCCAAGAAAUGGUGGGAAGGUUUCAUACUCCAUUCCUAAUGCCAAGACAAGAAUUAGAGAUAAAAAUAAGACCUGUAGAAUAAGUCUAAUCAGGAUUAGCAUCUAAUCUAUGCUAGAUUCCGUUUUAGCCUUUUAGGAUAAAUCCCCUCGAAUGACCGAAACAGAAGCUUUCAAGUUCAAACUAAUUUCGAGUGAAACAAUCGCAUAUCUUAUCACUAUAGCAUAUUAAUUACUAAAUAUGGUUGAAAUCAUAGUGUAAAUAUGGCAAUCCUAUUUUCAACUUCAAAAUGAGUUAUAUAGCCAACAUGACAUCGUGACUGAUUCAUAUUACUCAAGUCUUACUUUUACCCUUAAUAUAUAGCAGAUUCUAAUGAUUUUGCCUACUUAGAGGAAGAGUUUGAAUUGGGAUCCUUUGGUUGCUCUUGGAGGAAUGUAUACGUGGACAUUAUCCUUUCGAACGGUGGGUUUUUAAGUCUACGAAUUGGACUUUGUUACAACUAUUUCAACACGUGUAAACAUCAUAGGUCAUGUAUUGAGCAUGUCAUUUACACAUGGAAGCACAUAGAAGAGUUUAGCAACCUUUCCAUGCAUGUGACUUAAUAUUACUGGUUUAAUGUACUGGAUUAUUGUAUGUUAUGUAAAGGAUUUGAGAAGUUAAGGUAAGAGUGAAUACUUAAUAUCUGUAAAGAGGCUUUUAUUUAUAUCAAAAUAAAACAGUACAAAUGUUUAUAUUUUAGCAUUGGUGUAACAUAUCCUGAUUCUAGCUGGGAGAACUGCUAGCUGAGAAUAAAAAUUCGGUUGAAAUUGUGAUAUUUGAUUGUAUACUUAUCCACUGGUGUGUACUACUGUAUACUGCCUUCUGACCAAGAGAUUGAUGAUUAGUUAUAUUUGCACAUACUAUAGUUUUUGAUUGUUUCAUACCAUCAUUAGUAUGAUCAGUGAUAUUAUUGUGGACACAACCAUUAAUUUGUAAUAGAAGGGAAAUUUUACAACAGCACCAAUUGAUCUUUAAUUAUUUUGUCGUUAGAACCUCGGUGUUUUGUUCAUAAAUCACAAAUUAAUGGAAAAUACAAAAAAUAAAAGAAAAGAUAAUCGAGGCAACAUAACAAAAACUUAACUUGACGAAGGAACUAUAUAUUAAGCGUGGAAAACGGAUUGUAGUUUCUUAUAAUAUUUGUUAAUUCAGCGAUUCUUCAUCACAUCUCUAGUUAUCAUAGAUGAUUACGUCUGCCGAGAUCAGAUAUUAGUUGAACUCGAAGGGAAUUAAUCAGAACGAAUGUGCUUAUUGAUUCACAUUUUUGUCAUUAUCUUACCUCACUCGACAUAAUUGACCGGUCUCUUGUCGCCAAGUUUUGCCGCCCAACUAUAAAUAGAUGUGCUGCGCUCAUACACUCUUCACUACCCAAAAACAACAUCUUCACUCACAACAAACCGAACAAUUGCUAAAAUGACAAACCAAAACAUGGGCAACCUCAAGUCUCUCGCUCUCUUGGCUUUGCUCUUUUCCUUCUCUCUCGCUGUUUUUGCCGACACAUCCAAAGACGCCGCUACACAUGGUAUACAACUAUAUAUAUAGAGUUUUUCUUUUUAUGCUUUCACAUUAAUGAUGUUGGACUGUUAACUACAUGGCCUGACGUAAAAUAACUUUUAAACCACACGUGCAGCUAAGGAAGAAGUGAAACCAAGUGAAGCGACCGAUGCCAUAGCGCCACAACAACGUGGUUGUAGAUACGGAUGCUGCGGAGCCUAUGCUUAUGGACAGUGCGCCGCUUGCUGCAGCCGACCUCAGGCCGCGGAGGCCGAAACCGAGGCCAAUGACGUUGUUGUAGAGCCUGAGCAGCGGGGGCGUGGUGG